This 253-nucleotide ribosomal RNA is filed under the name uncultured bacterium. RNAcentral describes it as "partial 16S ribosomal RNA". It matches the Rfam family "Bacterial small subunit ribosomal RNA", at positions 524 to 776 of the family's 1533-position model. The record is from RNAcentral.
UACGAAGGGUGCAAGCGUUACUCGGAAUUACUGGGCGUAAAGCGUGCGUAGGUGGUUUGUUAAGUCUGUUGUGAAAGCCCCGGGCUCAACCUGGGAAUGGCAAUGGAUACUGGCAGGCUAGAGUGCGGUAGAGGGUAGUGGAAUUCCCGGUGUAGCGGUGAAAUGCGUAGAGAUCGGGAGGAACACCAGUGGCGAAGGCGGCUACCUGGACCAGCACUGACGCUGAGGCACGAAAGCGUGGGGAGCAAACAGG